UACGUAGGCAGCAAGCGUUGUUCGGAGUUACUGGGCGUAAAGGGUGUGUAGGUGGCGCGCUAAGUUCCGUGUGAAAUCUCCCGGCUCAACCGGGCGGGUGCGCGGAAAACUGGCGGGCUAGAGUACGGGAUGGGAGAGUAGAAUUCCAGGUGUAGCGGUGAAAUGCGUAGAUAUCAGGAGGAAUACCGGUGGUGUAGACGGCUCUCUGGACCGUAACUGACGCUGAAACACGAAAGCGUGGGUAGCAAACAGC
This 253-nucleotide ribosomal RNA is filed under the name uncultured bacterium. RNAcentral's name for it is "partial 16S ribosomal RNA". It matches the Rfam family "Bacterial small subunit ribosomal RNA", at positions 524 to 776 of the family's 1533-position model. The record is from RNAcentral.